RNAcentral lists this long non-coding RNA (1081 nucleotides) under Homo sapiens (human). RNAcentral describes it as "non-protein coding lnc-RAD51B-1:1". Lineage: Eukaryota; Metazoa; Chordata; Mammalia; Primates; Hominidae. The record is from RNAcentral.
UUUUUUUUUUUUUUUCUUUCAGUAAGUGGAAAAGCAAAGAAUUUGAAAGUGUUUUGGGAAAUCUGAACACCAGUUGAAUCUUGGUAAUGUUUAGGGGGUAUUAUUAAUUUUUAGGUGGAAUAAUGAUAAUGUGGCUAAGUUUGACAAGAAUCUAUUCUUUGGGGAUAAAAAACACCAUUACAUGUUCCUUUACCCAAGGUUGAAAACAUUUGGGAACUUGAUUUCCAACAUCAAAAUCCAGAUCAAAACCCAUUCAACAAUCCCAUGAUCCCCUUGCAACAACCCUUUCCUGGCCAGUAUCACAGGGUGCCGACCCUCACAGGGUCUCACAAUUCAACAAUUCAGUGAGAGAGGAUGCAGCAACAAAGACUGUAACGAAAAAACAAGAGAGUCUAGGGUCUCACAUCAACAAUUCAGUGAAAGAGGAUGCAGCAACAAAGACUGUAAGGGAAAAACAGGAGAGUCUACAGCUGAAGCUACUGCUACUCAAGGUGGGCAGAGAACGGAAGAGACGGAUUCUGUUGGAAACUAAGAGGGGAAAUCCAGGAAGGCUUCCUGGUGGAGCUGAUCUUUAAGCUGAACCUUGAAGGACUGGUAAGAUGAACGGAUGUUCUGGAACCUGAGAAACACCCAAGUACCAGAGAGACAGCAUCCAUGUGUGAACUACUCUAGACAGAGGCAACAGGCGUGGUCGAUGGACGUGGCCACACUGCCCUCCAGUGGCCAGCUCGCCGAACAACACGUCUGGGCCCCUUUUGGGGGUCUGGGUGACGUGUCCACCCUCUCUCUGCCCUUUGCUACAUUUGAAGGUGGGGUUUGCUCAUCCAUGGUUCCUCUUACAGGUCACCAAAGCUGCCACAGUGCACACUCACCCAACAGCAGGGGAUUUGCCGCCUUCGGUGGUUCUCAAACUUCAGUGUGCACAGGAAUCCCCCCUUGGACAGUUCUUUCAAACCCGGAUUGCUGGGUCCCCCAACCAAGUCAGAGAAUUUGCAUUUCUAACAAAUCCUCAGGCGAUGCUGAGCUGCUGGUCCGCUGGUCCUGGAGCCACACUUAGAGAACCACUGGCUCGGCUCACUCU